RNAcentral lists this ribosomal RNA (254 nucleotides) under Climacostomum virens. RNAcentral's name for it is "partial Eukaryotic small subunit ribosomal RNA". It matches the Rfam family "Eukaryotic small subunit ribosomal RNA", at positions 1233 to 1507 of the family's 1831-position model. Lineage: Eukaryota; Ciliophora; Heterotrichea; Heterotrichida; Climacostomidae. The record is from RNAcentral.
AUAAGGAUUGACAGAUUGAGAGCUCUUUCUUGAUUCUUUGGGUGGUGGUGCAUGGCCGUUCUUAGUUGGUGGAGUGAUUUGUCUGGUUAAUUCCGUUAACGAACGAGACCUCAACCUAUUAAAUAGUAGAAACAUUCUUCCGGAUGUGGGAUACUUCUUAGAGGGACUUUUCGCUUUUAGCGGAAGGAAGUUUGAGGCAAUAACAGGUCUGUGAUGCCCUUAGAUGUCCUGCGCCGCACGCGCGCUACAAUGAC